CGUCCCUGAAAAACGAAGCACGCGAAGAACCCAACAGUUACAGAUAGCCCGUUAGAGGACACCCAAUUCCAGAGUGAUGACGAAAUUGGCUCUACAUUUCCAUCAUUACCAAAAUGCUUGUGGCACUUUUGCUGUGCAUUUCGUACGGUUUUUCGCCUGAGUUAGAACUCGUUCUUUUCCAUUGUAUGCAUUUAUGUGAACAACGCUGCACCACGCAGUGCAGGAUCGCGGAUCGUUUGUGGAAAGACCAUAUCUACUGGUAGAGUGAUAUAAUUACGGUAAACGGCCUGUUCUCUGUGACACUUGCUGCCGAAAUGCCAGAGUUGUGCGGAGGAUGGAGCAGCUUGCUAUUUGAGUCAAGUUCUCACAGUUUAUCUUCAGGAGGCAAUUUUUUCGCGGCUGACGACACAAAAGAGUGUACCUGGUUCCUGAACUCCGAGUCGAUCUCGGGCAACGAUUUCAUCAGCUUCCUUCGAGUUCUCUCCAACGUCUGCCUGCUUUGUCAGGGGCGAAAAAAGACAUCCCUCGUCUUCUGUGAUCCAAUCGAGUUGGGCGAGCGGCCCAGUGUCCAGUUCGAAGAAGUCUGUUUCCUCUUUCUUCGCUUUGUUGGUUUCUGUUUUCCGCUUGUUCGGAGAUGUGCCUCCAGAUGCACCGCCACUACAAGGGUGAAAAACGACCCUGCUGCCCUUGUCCUGGAGGUAGUUCUUGACGACAGACGAGAGGAGGGUUGUUCCGUCCACAGAACCAUCAACGAACACGCCUGCUGUGCUCGAAUUCUGUGGUGCAGGAGGAAAACCAAGAGAAUGCGGGGACGCAGUGGCUGAAGACGAAGCAGACGUCGGAGACACUGGCGUGGAGGAGUCUUUGAGACUUGUUAGGGCAAAAACCGAAUUUUCACGAGAGAGAGGAGGUACGUUCGCGGAGUCUGAGACCAGGGCAUUCGCCAAACCCCCCUGAUCUGCAGUCCACUGGGCUCCACAAGCGCCUUUUUCAAUCUCCAGUUCCUGAAGAAAGUCGGAAAUGUCUCGUUUGGUUUGCCGCGAACGCAGCAGAGCGGCAUUCAGCGCCUCUUCCUCUGUUGAAGACGACAUUCUGCUCUGCUUUCAGAGAAGAAAAAGGUGCAAAAAGGCGGGCAAGCGGGACACCCGACAUACGGGUUCGUCCCGCUAGAUUGCAGCGUUAUUCAGCGAGUCGUUGAGGCCAUGAUAUGCGUAAACAGCCUGUGAAUGAUAGACACUGAGAUGGGGAUAAAGAUAGGGAGAAAGUCAUCUAGAGAUUACCUGCGCAUCGUCAGACUGAUGUGGAGAUAAAAAGGAAGUUUGAGAGAAAGGGAGGAAUGGAACAAUUGUGGAGGCCAGCUUACAGCUGAGUAGAACUAAUAACCUUCGUAUUUGUAUCGAAGUAGGUGGAUAUCCGCAGAAGCAGCUACUUAACCAUGAUGAUGGACGGAACCGUGUGGUGAAGGGGAAAAUGGCAGAGACAUGCCUAGAGAGGGC
RNAcentral lists this long non-coding RNA (1496 nucleotides) under Toxoplasma gondii VEG. Lineage: Eukaryota; Apicomplexa; Conoidasida; Eucoccidiorida; Sarcocystidae. The record is from RNAcentral.